ACUACUCGUUUUUCUCCUUCCUAGUUCAUAUCACCACACUUAGAGAAAGAAAAAAACAAAAAUACCCUAACGCCUCUUCUUCUUCUCCAAGCCGAUGUCCCUAAUCUAAAACUAGCUCCAAUCAAUCUCUUUCUUGAAGAACUGCAAUGACUCUAUCCGGCGACCGUCGUCUAUGGUUCUCUGUGUCAGAUCCAACAGGACCUAAAUUUGUUUGAGCUUCUAAUUGAAAGAGGUGCAACGUAGAUGGAUGCUGACUGGGAGGCUGAUUGAGACACUCUAAUGGAGUACUGCCCAAUAGAACCAUCAAAGAAGAAGAGCAAGAAUGCUGCUGGAAGCCGCUUAUCUAAUCCUGAUGGCAAAGGGAUUCACAAGCAUUGUGCAGGUCCUCGAAGUUUUUUUUUGCAGAUUGAGCAUGAGAAGAUGAUUGAAUCUGGUUUGGAUGAACCACCACCUUUCAUUGAUCUUAUGCGGAGGACACACACACGCAAAGAUGAAACUUCCAUCGAUCCUCGUGUUGAGUGUCUUGUAAUCAAAGUAGAGUAAUCUGCUGCACAAAUUACAUCAGAAAAUGGUUCUCUCCUCUGUUUGUACCGGGGAUUAAUUGUUUGUACCGGAGAUUACACAGUUUAAACAAAUAAAGAUUUUGUGGGAAAGAGCAAGCAAGUUCUUUUAUUAAUCGGGGAAAACGUGAGAUCGUCACUUAAAACGAGUCGAGAUAGAGCUUGUUAGUUCACAAGCGAACUAGCAAGCUUAAAGGGACGAACUGAAAACAAGAAUGAAUUAUACGAAAGACAAUAGCAAUUUUCGAUGCAAAGUGUUGCUCUGUAGGUAUUGUCUGCGGGUCCGGAUCCUUUCUCCAAUAGAUGUCUCGAGCUAUUUAUAAGCGAAUGUAGAGUUAGAACACUCUAGGGUUUUCUGUGUGAAAUCCCGAGAUUGUCCUCCGAGGUUGGCCCAUUUCCUUCUAUCUCUGGUGAGUCUUUGUUGGGCCGAGUUGGCAUAUGGGGCAAAGCCCAUAUCCAACAAUAGUCCCCCCCUUAGUCCGGCGAGCGAGAUAUUUCUGCGAUCGGCGGGCGUACUUUGAGUCUUAACAUAUGCCUGCUCGGCGUUAGGCGUUCCAGACUGCUUCAAGAAGAUCUAACUUUGUGUGGUGAUGGUUAAAGCGAUAGUUUUUGUUGAGCUCGGAGCUCGUUCUGAUGUUGUAUGCGUUGAGUGUGUUGUUCUGGAGCGCGAAGCUUGUAUGAAUGUUAUGUGUCUUGAGCACGUCUUUGCGGAGCGUGGCGCCUGGCGCGUGGAGCGUUGAGCGUGGAUCUCAUCUAGAUGUUAUGCGCCUUGAGCACGUUUUUACAGAGUGUAGUGCUUGAUAAUGGAUCUGCAAUGGUUGAGGACGGAGUUGCCGCACAUAGUUCGUAACCAAGGAUCAAAGAAAUUGAGCCAGACCGGCAUGCGGAGAUUGAGGUCGGCGAGCUUGAGAUUGAGGUCGGCGAAUGAGUUUGAGGUCUC
Non-coding RNA from Camelina sativa (false flax), 1500 nucleotides. The record is from RefSeq and is a predicted model, not a curated record. NCBI's taxonomy places the organism in Eukaryota, Viridiplantae, Streptophyta, Magnoliopsida, Brassicales, Brassicaceae.